Molecule: non-coding RNA, 91 nt
Organism: Mycena rosella
Lineage: Eukaryota; Fungi; Basidiomycota; Agaricomycetes; Agaricales; Mycenaceae
Source: the annotation of a GenBank genome assembly
GGCCCUGUGGUGUAAUGGUUAGCGUCCUCUAUUCUUGACAUGCUUGACAAUUCUUGUGAGGAAGUUCUCUGUUCAAUUCAGGGUGGGGCCA